Molecule: ribosomal RNA, 253 nt
Filed under: uncultured bacterium
Lineage: Bacteria
Description: partial 16S ribosomal RNA
Rfam family: Bacterial small subunit ribosomal RNA
Source: RNAcentral
UACGGGGGGGGCUAGCGUUGUUCGGAAUUACUGGGCGUAAAGGGCUCGUAGGCGGCCAACUAAGUCAGACGUGAAAUCCCUCGGCUUAACCGGGGAACUGCGUCUGAUACUGGAUGGCUUGAAUCCGGGAGAGGGAUGCGGAAUUCCAGGUGUAGCGGUGAAAUGCGUAGAUAUCUGGAGGAACACCGGUGGCGAAGGCGGCAUCCUGGACCGGCAUUGACGCUGAGGAGCGAAAGCCAGGGGAGCGAACAGG